CAGCCGCCACGGGAAUACGGGGGGAGCUAGCGUUGUUCGGAAUCACUGGGCGUAAAGCGCACGUAGGCGGCUAUUCAAGUCAGGGGUGAAAGCCCGGGGCUCAACCCCGGAACUGCCUUUGAAACUAGCAAGCUAGAGUCUUGCAGAGGGGGGUAGAAUUCCAAGUGUAGCGGUGAAAUGCGUAGAGAUCUGGAGGAAUACCGGUGGCGAAGGCGGCCCCCUGGACAAAGACUGACGCUCAGGUGCGAAAGCGUGGGGAGCAAACAGGAUUAGAUACCCGCGUAGUCCCUGUCUCUUAUAC
This 301-nucleotide ribosomal RNA is filed under the name uncultured bacterium. RNAcentral describes it as "partial 16S ribosomal RNA". It matches the Rfam family "Bacterial small subunit ribosomal RNA", at positions 509 to 807 of the family's 1533-position model. The record is from RNAcentral.